This is a non-coding RNA of Equus caballus (horse), 2792 nucleotides long. The record is from RefSeq and is a predicted model, not a curated record. NCBI's taxonomy places the organism in Eukaryota, Metazoa, Chordata, Mammalia, Perissodactyla, Equidae.
UGGCAAAUAAUACCUGAAUCUCAUUCUCAUUUAUUCCUACUUUUGAGAGUUAGUAGGAAAAGACAACAGGAUUAUUUCCUGAUUACAUAUCUGUAACAGUGAAUAGAGAUGCUUUGUGAGGUAGAAGGACACAUAAUCAGGCAUUUCUGUUUAAAGCCACAGAUGAAGAGUGAAACCUUUGAUCAGUCAUCACAAUGCCUGUAAGAUGGUCUAAAACCAUAUUUGAAGACAUCUGGAUGGUUGAUCUUCUUAUUCAAAUGGAAGUUUCGGCAUUAUAUGAAGAUACACUGUCUGUACAUGGAUUUUUCUGUGUGUGAUAGUAUAUGUAUGCGUGUGUGAGAGAGAACAAGGAUGUGGGGGAGGGACAUACAGGUUCCACCUACGGAACUAAGAAGGACAGAAGGAACCAGGUAGAUUUGGUGCUCUUUGUUAGGACAGAUCUUUGAGCCACAAUUCCUCCCAUUAGACUAGAAUGGCUAAAUCUUCUGGACACAUCUAAUCUUUCCAUUAUAGAUGAGUGGAAUCUGAUAGGAAAAGUUUGUUUGUUUUUGUUUUGCUUUGAUGUCUAGGAUUUGGGGUGCAGCAUUUCUGAAGCUGGAGUAUUACAAUCCACAGAGGAAUCAGGGAGCAAUCCCGCUGAGCAGAGAAGACUUCUAAGAUCUGAAGAAGUGGCAGCCCUGCAUGCCCUAUGGAGCAGCCUCAUUCUACACAAAAAGAAAUGGAAGCAUUGAGAGGUAAGCUCUUACUCAAGUCACACUGCUGGUUAAGUGGCUGAGCUGAGAUCUGAACUUGGACCUCCCGGUUCCAGAGCUCUUGCCCCCAGAGAAGCUUAUACAGCUGGAUAGAGACAGGUAUGUACACAAAAACGCAGAAAAGAGCCACACAAGGAGGGGAGGGGAAUCUGAGUAUGGACUCAGGAAAUCAGAGUUGGAAUGGACGCAGCUCAAGCUUCUGAGCAGAGCAAGCCUGGGGCUGUGACCUGCCCAGCUGCCAAGUCUCGCGCCCAGAGGGGCACAGCGGGGGGCUUAAGGCAGGCUCGCUGUCAGAGGGGGUGGGGUGUGGGUAGGGGUGGGGGUUGUAUGCUUUUAAAAAACCUUUUAUAGCAUCGUUUUAAGGAAAACGUUGCAUAUUCAUCUCCAAAGAAAAUAUGCAUUGUGGCUCCAUAAUAUAACGCUGGACUGGCCAAGAGAAAGCCUAUCUAAACCUGGCACCUGAAGCUAUCCGUCACAGCCAGCUCUGGGGAAGCGGGUCAUCUGACGUGGAAUCAACACCUGCGAAAGGAGGCCAAACUCCUUUAGAGCAUAUUCUAGUUUCACAAACCUCUGUUCCAAGAGACUCACACUAUUCCUAGUUCACGGAGUCAGAACUCUCCUGGCAAAUAUUUAAUGAUUUUCUCAAAGUGGCAGAGAAAGUCAGGCUCUUCCUGCUUCCUUGAAAUGGCGCUGGCACUGGCUGAAUGAAAAGGGGACCAGCUGUAUACUGCCUUCCAGGCUGAGAGAAACCCUAGGGACAAGGCAGGGCCUCCUCACCCAGCAGGAGAGAACCCACAGGCAGCCGGCCCCCUCCGCCUCUUCCCCCACCCAUUACGGCUCCUCCUAAGGCUUUCCAACAAAAUCGGCCUCCACUCACUUGGGAAGGUUUCCUGGGGCUCCGCAUCAGGGCUCCGGGCGCCCGACCUGCUGGCUUUCUCACCGGGCAGUUUCAGGAGUUGGGCGAGUUACUUGACCUCUCCAUGCCUCCAUUCCUCACCAGUGGAAGAAGGAUAAUAAUAGCAACUCCCUCACGGGGUGCAACCGGGAUGAAGUGAGUUCAUAUUUGCAAAGCGAUUAAAACAGCACUCGGCACACAGUGAGAAACUGUGCUGUAAGAGGUUAUAGCCCUGCACCUGGCCAGGGAUGGAGCUGGACCUUGAAACCCAACCUUCUGACCACAAACUGCCCUCAUAUGGCCACACCCUUCCCUCCCCACUGCCACUGCCACCUGAUGGGAGGACCAGGGCAACUCUGGAGAGCACAGAGGGCAGCCACGGCUAAGGCCGGAUGCGGCACUGUUAGGAGGGGUGUAAACUCUCUGCCCUCUGUCUGUCCACAGGCUCAGCUGUUUUCCGUGUUCUUAAAACUUCAGCACAAACAAAAGUAAAUCCCAAACUAUAACACCUCUUCCCCAUAGAACGGCUCAGAAACCAAGCCAGGCCACAGUUUCCUGCCUUGUGGCUGCCAGAUGUAGUCAGUGUUCUAGUGACCAAAUUCACAGCUAAGGUAUUGUCCUUAGAGGACAAUAAAGAGUUAUAACUUAGGAAGAGCAAAGUUCAAGUAAGUCCUGGAGCUAAUUAGAGAACAACCUAAAAAAUAAUAAAUCUCCUUUCACACAUUCUGAUUUCAGGUAAUUGUAUCAAGAUGGAUAAAACAGGGAAUUAACAUGAUUUUAAUACCCCUGAGUUUAUUCUAAUGCAAUCACAGAUAAUAAAAACUCAUUUUGACAAUUUUAUGAUAUGCUCAAAAUACUAGAGGUCAUAUUUAUUAUUUUAGCUAAUUUUCUUCCCAUUUCUAACUGUAAUAAAAAAUAGAAAUGUCACCUGAAAUAAGCUGUGAUAGGAAAAUUAAUAAAUACUCUUAAAGUACUUUAAAUAUACAAGUCAGUAAUAGAUUUACUGAAUUACAAAAAGAACUCCUUCCCUUUAAAAAGCCUGUCUCUGAUAAAUUCCGUUUCUCCUUUCUCUUUUCCAAAGUACCUAGUAGAAGGCCUUUGACAUGUGGAAAAAGAAUAAAUGUCUUCGCGUUUCAUUUUUCCUU